Stegodyphus dumicola is the source of this 1442-nucleotide RNA transcript. It is a transcript of the gene named ubiquinone biosynthesis protein COQ9, mitochondrial, with no coding region annotated. The record is from RefSeq and is a predicted model, not a curated record. NCBI's taxonomy places the organism in Eukaryota, Metazoa, Arthropoda, Arachnida, Araneae, Eresidae.
GUAUGUCUAUAAAUCUAUAUAUGAAUUCCAAUAAUUCAAAAUACGUGAUACAAUAAUUAAAAAUACAUGAUAUAUAUAAAGUUAAAGUUAUUAAACGAAAGAGUUCCAGUCAGAUUAAACUUAAGAAACAUUGGCAGGUAACAAUAAAAUGACUGCCGUAAGUUAGGGGAAAUAUGGGAUCAUUCUGGGUUACCUGAAAAGCGUUGGUAUUUAGCGCCGAAGCUUUUCUAUACUAGAAUGAAAUUUCUUUCUAGGGGUUGACAAUACGCUGGUUUUGUUGUCGUCUGUCAGUUUUCUGCCGAAAUUUUUAUGGCAUCCUCGCGUUUGUUUACUUGGAAAGUGAUUUCCCUAUCAGUUCAGAAGAGUUCUUUUCCAUGCUAUAAGCAAGCUUCACUGUAUAAAUUGGUAUAUUACCAUAAAUAUGCAGCUGUACAACAAAACUUCAAUGUGGAGAAUCGGCCUGACAGUGGAUCUGAUACUGAAUAUGAAGAGGAAAAAAUUAAAGAUAUUUCUGAGUUAAAAGUUAAAAUAUUAGAAGCUGCAGUAAAUUUUGUUCCGGAAUAUGGAUGGAGUAAAAAGUCUUUGGCACAUGGUGCAAAAUCUCUUGGUCUAUCUACAGCUGCUCACGGUCUUAUCGAAAGUGGAGGGGCAGAUCUGGUCCAUUAUUUCAACUUUUCAAGCAACAGAAAGCUUGAACAGCAUCUUAAAGAAAAUGCUGCAGAAAACGAAAGCUGUAUUGCUAUUUCUUUUAGGACUGAUCUGAAAAAUUUUCUAGAAAAUGCUCUGGAAUUUAGGCUUAGAAUGGUUAUCCCAUUUGUAUCAAACUGGCCCGAGGCUAUGGCUCUUAUGUUAUUUCCUACUCAAAUUCCUGCUGAUACAAAGAAUUUGCUUGAUAUGGCAGAUCAAAUUUGGCAUUAUUCGGGAGAUAAAUCCUUAGACAUGUCUUGGUACAGCAAAAGACUUUCAGUUGCUGCUGCUUAUAAAGCUUGUGAGUUAAGUCUAAUCCAAGAUAAGUCAUCUGACUUUUCAGACACCUUUGAAUUUCUUGAGAGACGUGUAGAUACAGUAACAGAAGCACUUCAAUUGCUCGACAAAGUUAAUGAUAGUAGUAAAGAUCUUACAGAAUUUACAGCAGGAGCAUUAAUUACACUUUCUGUGAGAGUGCACUGAAGAUAGAAUUCGAUAGAAGAAAACUAAUUGAUUUUUCAUUAUGAUUGAAAACUGCACCCGUAUGUGACUUCUUCUUUGUGCAACACUGGGUUUUCACUGGUCUAUUACAAAGCAAGUAUUAUGAGAAAGUAAAUGUAGAACAGGAAAUGAGGCAAGAAAUCUUCUUGGGAUUAAUCGAUGGUUCAGAUAGUGUAAAUCUAUACAUUGUGGUCACAGAAUUUACUCUGAUUUGUAGCAUUGUAACUUAUUGAUCAUUAAAUUUAUUGAUGUUA